ACACUCCGAAAGGGGUGCUAAUACCGAAUGUUGUAAUGCUGCUGCAUGGCAGUAUUACCAAAGGUGGCUUUUAGCUAUCGCUUGGAGAUGGGCCUGCGUCUGAUUAGCUGGUUGGUGACGGUAACGGCGCACCAAGGCGACGAUCAGUAGCCGGUCUGAGAGGAUGAACGGCCACAUUGGGACUGAGACACGGCCCAGACUCCUACGGGAGGCAGCAGUGGGGAAUCUUCCGCAAUGGGCGAAAGCCUGACGGAGCAACGCCGCGUGAACGAGGAAGGUCUUCGGAUCGUAAAGUUCUGUUGCAGGGGACGAACGGCACUAUAGCCAAUAAGUAUAGUGAAUGACGGUACCCUGUUAGAAAGCCACGGCUAACUACGUGCCAGCAGCCGCGGUAAUACGUAGGCGGCAAGCGUUGUCCGGAAUCAUUGGGCGUAAAGGGAGCGCAGGCGGAACAUUAAGCGGAUCUUAAAAGUGCGGGGCUCAACCCCGUGAUGGGGUCCGAACUGAGGUUCUUGAGUGCAGGAGAGGAAAGCGGAAUUCCCAGUGUAGCGGUGAAAUGCGUAGAUAUUGGGAAGAACACCAGUGGCGAAGGCGGCUUUCUGGACUGUAACUGACGCUGAGGCUCGAAAGCCAGGGUAGCGA
RNAcentral lists this ribosomal RNA (642 nucleotides) under Pectinatus sp. IIRo28. RNAcentral's name for it is "bacterial SSU rRNA". It matches the Rfam family "Bacterial small subunit ribosomal RNA", at positions 146 to 771 of the family's 1533-position model. Lineage: Bacteria; Bacillati; Bacillota; Negativicutes; Selenomonadales; Selenomonadaceae. The record is from RNAcentral.